GAUGAAGAACGUAGCGAAAUGCGAUAAGUAAUGUGAAUUGCAGAAUUCAGUGAAUCAUCGAAUCUUUGAACGCACAUUGCGCCCUCUGGUAUUCCGGGGGGCAUGCCUGUUCGAGCGUCAUUAUAACCACUCAAGCUCUCGCUUGGUAUUGGGGUUCGCGGUUCCGCGGCCCCUAAAAUCAGUGGCGGUGCCUGUCGGCUCUACGCGUAGUAAUACUCCUCGCGAUUGAGUCCGGUAGGUCUACUUGCCAGCAACCCCCAAUUUUUACAGGUUGACCUCGGAUCAGGUAGGGAUACCCGCUGAACUUAAGAAUAUCAAUAAGCGGAGGA
Molecule: unclassified non-coding RNA, 329 nt
Filed under: soil metagenome
Description: partial contains 5.8S ribosomal RNA, internal transcribed spacer 2, and large subunit ribosomal RNA
Rfam family: 5.8S ribosomal RNA (bases 1-120)
Source: RNAcentral